CGGAGCCUACGGGAGGCAGCAGUGAGGAAUAUUGGUCAAUGGGCGGGAGCCUGAACCAGCCACGUCGCGUGAAGGAAGAAGGUACUUAGUAUUGUAAACUUCUUUUGUCGGGGAACAAAGGCGGAGACGCGUCUCCGGAUGAGUGUACCCGAAGAAAAAGCAUCGGCUAACUCCGUGCCAGCAGCCGCGGUAAUACGUAGGUGGCGAGCGUUGUCCGGAAUUACUGGGUGUAAAGGGAGUGUAGGCGGGAAAGCAAGUCAGAAGUGAAAACUAUGGGCUUAACCCAUAGCCUGCUUUUGAAACUG
This 305-nucleotide ribosomal RNA is filed under the name uncultured bacterium. RNAcentral's name for it is "bacterial SSU rRNA". It matches the Rfam family "Bacterial small subunit ribosomal RNA", at positions 332 to 635 of the family's 1533-position model. The record is from RNAcentral.